RNAcentral lists this ribosomal RNA (906 nucleotides) under uncultured bacterium. RNAcentral's name for it is "bacterial SSU rRNA". It matches the Rfam family "Bacterial small subunit ribosomal RNA", at positions 33 to 923 of the family's 1533-position model. The record is from RNAcentral.
ACGCUGGCGGCGUGCCUAAUACAUGCAAGUAGAACGCUGAAGGAGGAGCUUGCUUCUCCGGAUGAGUUGCGAACGGGUGAGUAACGCGUAGGUAACCUGCCUGGUAGCGGGGGAUAACUAUUGGAAACGAUAGCUAAUACCGCAUAAGAGUAGAUGUUGCAUGACAUUUGCUUAAAAGGUGCAAUUGCAUCACUACCAGAUGGACCUGCGUUGUAUUAGCUAGUUGGUGGGGUAACGGCUCACCAAGGCGACGAUACAUAGCCGACCUGAGAGGGUGAUCGGCCACACUGGGACUGAGGCACGGCCCAGACUCCUACGGGAGGCAGCAGUAGGGAAUCUUCGGCAAUGGACGGAAGUCUGACCGAGCAACGCCGCGUGAGUGAAGAAGGUUUUCGGAUCGUAAAGCUCUGUUGUAAGAGAAGAACGAGUGUGAGAGUGGAAAGUUCACACUGUGACGGUAUCUUACCAGAAAGGGACGGCUAACUACGUGCCAGCAGCCGCGGUAAUACGUAGGUCCCGAGCGUUGUCCGGAUUUAUUGGGCGUAAAGCGAGCGCAGGCGGUUAGAUAAGUCUGAAGUUAAAGGCUGUGGCUUAACCAUAGUACGCUUUGGAAACUGUUUAACUUGAGUGCAAGAGGGGAGAGUGGAAUUCCAUGUGUAGCGGUGAAAUGCGUAGAUAUAUGGAGGAACACCGGUGGCGAAAGCGGCUCUCUGGCUUGUAACUGACGCUGAGGCUCGAAAGCGUGGGGAGCAAACAGGAUUAGAUACCCUGGUAGUCCACGCCGUAAACGAUGAGUGCUAGGUGUUAGACCCUUUCCGGGGUUUAGUGCCGCAGCUAACGCAUUAAGCACUCCGCCUGGGGAGUACGACCGCAAGGUUGAAACUCAAAGGAAUUGACGGGGGCCCG